RNAcentral lists this ribosomal RNA (274 nucleotides) under uncultured bacterium. Its description in RNAcentral is "partial 16S ribosomal RNA". It matches the Rfam family "Bacterial small subunit ribosomal RNA", at positions 523 to 796 of the family's 1533-position model. The record is from RNAcentral.
AUACGGGGGGGGCAAGCGUUGCCCGGAAUCACUGGGCUUAAAGGGGGUGUAGGCGGCCGGGUGUGUCGGGCGUGUAAUCUGACGGCUCAACCGUCAGGCUGCGUCCGAAACUACCCGGCUAGAGGGCGCCAGAGGGAGGCGGAACUCCUGGUGUAGCGGUGAAAUGCGUAGAUAUCAGGGGGAACGCCGAAGGCGAAGGCAGCCUCCUGGGGCGCUCCUGACGCUGAGGCCCGAAGGCCAGGGGAGCAAAGGGGAUUAGAAACCCUAGUAGUCC